GGGGGCGCCGAGACCCCGUUCCCGAAGGUGAUUGGUCGCAGGAGGGGGGGCAGGCGGGAGGAGCGGAGCCCGCCCCGGGGCCUGCGGGAACCGCUAGGUCCGGCUGCCACCUAGCGGACGGGAGCCGCUGGCAGGCGGCACGCCGCCGAGUCCCUCCCCUCCCCGCUGGCAGCCUGCUCUCCAAACCAAGGCAGCACUUUGAAAAUUCUUUCAAUGGGUUUUUUUUCCUUGAAAGAUCGCACUGGGGGAAAACGAUACUUCUAUUAGUUACAUAUUCUCCAAUCCCACACUCGCACCCCCCUCGUGAGAGGAGCGCUCCCCUAGGCAGGCUCAGGCGGGCGCGGAGCGCGGCGUGACAAAGCAGCGGCUGCCACCGCCCGGAGUGGGAGUCCCUCCUGCCAGCCCACCGCUCGACGCGGGAGAGCGUAAAAGUUUGUCUCUGCUCAAGCGUUCCGAGCGCCCCCAGAGACAAGGAGUCGUGAGCAGCGGAGCGGAGCAGAGAAAGGGAGGCUGGGGGAGGGAAGGAUCGCGAAAGAGUGGGCGAGGAAGCGAACAGCGAGCGUCCGGGAGCCGGAGGCCUGCUGGGUGCCGGGGCGCCCGCCCAGCCUCCCUCGCACUCUAGACUGUACGUGGUGGGUACCAGAAACGAGACUCGGCCAAGUCCUGCCCCACCAGGCAACCUCCACAUGGAAGCUUGGAAGGACCUGUGCUGACCUGCAGG
Long non-coding RNA from Meriones unguiculatus (Mongolian gerbil), 721 nucleotides. RefSeq lists it as uncharacterized. The record is from RefSeq and is a predicted model, not a curated record. Lineage: Eukaryota; Metazoa; Chordata; Mammalia; Rodentia; Muridae. The transcript has 3 exons.